Non-coding RNA from Orcinus orca (killer whale), 72 nucleotides. NCBI's taxonomy places the organism in Eukaryota, Metazoa, Chordata, Mammalia, Artiodactyla, Delphinidae. The record is from the annotation of a RefSeq genome assembly.
UCCCUGGUGGUCCAGUGGUUAGGAUUCAGCGCUUUGACUGCUGGGACCCAGGUUCGAUCCCUGGUCAGGGAA